GCUGUGGUUCAUUGGCAGAGCACCUGUUUUGCAUGCAGAAGGUCCCUGGUUCAAUCCCUGGCAUCUCCA
RNAcentral lists this transfer RNA (69 nucleotides) under Podarcis lilfordi (Lilford's wall lizard). RNAcentral describes it as "tRNA.Ala". It matches the Rfam family "tRNA". Rfam says of the family: Transfer RNA (tRNA) molecules are approximately 80 nucleotides in length. The record is from RNAcentral. Lineage: Eukaryota; Metazoa; Chordata; Lepidosauria; Squamata; Lacertidae.